RNAcentral lists this ribosomal RNA (194 nucleotides) under uncultured bacterium. Its description in RNAcentral is "partial 16S ribosomal RNA". It matches the Rfam family "Bacterial small subunit ribosomal RNA", at positions 338 to 524 of the family's 1533-position model. The record is from RNAcentral.
CCUACGGGAGGCAGCAGUGGGGAAUAUUGGACAAUGGGGGCAACCCUGAUCCAGCCAUACCGCGUGUGUGAAGAAGGCCUUCGGGUUGUAAAGCACUUUCAGUGGGGAGGAAAAGGCUCCGGCUAAUAUCCGGGGCUCGUGACGCUACCCACAGAAGAAGCACCGGCAAACUCCGUGCCAGCAGCCGCGGUAAU